AGCAAACACGUCCAUAAGCAUCAAAGUGCUCUGAGUGUAGGUGAGUUCACAGAAGACCAUCCCAUGGUGGAAGAAAGCGUCUCUUUAGUCGGGAGCAAGAAGCAGAAAUCACCACCCUGGUGUUGCUAAAUAAUGCCAUCAGACUCAAAUACAAACACAAAUGAAGAAAGACGACACCAUACUCCACAUCAGAAGGAAUGUUUCCACAUCAACCACUGGCCACUUACUGAGAAGACAUAGGAGGAGUAUGAAACAAAUAUAUUGGAGAAGAAUUCUGAUCAUGUGAAAGAAAUGUGACAUGCGCGUGUACAAAGUAUAUUUAAGCAUGAAAUGAACGCUGACCAGAUUGAAAACAUCUACACUCAAGAGGCUGCUCUCAGUUUGUCCAAAAGGCACUGCAGAGACAGGAACACCAGAGGACGAAGAGCUACAGUGGACGUCCCUGCUGGUGAGGGAGGUGUAUGAUCGGAGCCCAUAUGCGGGUCUGUCUGAGACAGUGUCUGCAGGCAAUGUCUUGAGGAACCUAACAGGUGUAGUUUUGAGAGAGAUGGGUGGGGUUGGAACGUGUCCCCUUCACAGUCUUUAGGGGGUGAAAUGUCCUCCCCGGUAAUUCCUGCUCACAGGAUCUUGUGAUUUUGUUUUUAACGGUGUGAUGUGUUUUCUUCUGGCUGUUAGGAUUUUAAAAUAAACAAUUUUAGGCCAAAUCUGUCACAUUUGGGUUACUGUGGUGGGCGGGAGGCGGAGUUCGUGCUGGGUGCCCCUCCCCUAAUCACGGACAGUGACUACAGACUCAUGGAGGAGCCACAGCACAAACGCACAGUUCUCACCAGCAGGGUAGACAGGACGCUGUAGCCUUCCGGCCACGGAGAGACCUCUGAGAGAGACUGUUAAAGAGUCUUACAGGUACUAAAGGUUGUGUCAAGAUGGGAUUAGUGCACUGUGUAAAUAAAGCACUUUGGGUUGACUUGCAAUAAUGUGUGUGUGCGUGUGUGUGUCUCUGAGCUUGUUUUUGGCAUAUUCGUUACGUCCUCACGUGGAUAAUGCAGUGUGUUCCUUCAGCAUACUAGUGAGGUAAACUGAAUGUGUUUUCUGUAAUAAUGUGAAACAUUGCUGGUCUGUUAGCUAGCGCAAGCCAUAGCCAAACCCUGGAUUAAAAAUGGAAGACACAUUCUGGAGUUUAGUUUGUUAGCUAUAGCCAGUUAACUUGCUAGUUUUGUAACGUAACAGUAACGUGUUUUGUCAUCCAUAGAGCAAAGCUUCGACAUUUAACCGUGUAGUCAUGUGACUGCGUGAUUUGUCAAUUUACUACUAACGCUGCUUAUCUGUUGUAAAACUGGCAUGAGUGUAGUUUUUGGAGGGGGGGUUGUGUCUACCCCAAAUAA
This is a non-coding RNA of Electrophorus electricus (electric eel), 1382 nucleotides long. Lineage: Eukaryota; Metazoa; Chordata; Actinopteri; Gymnotiformes; Gymnotidae. The record is from RefSeq and is a predicted model, not a curated record.